AUUUAUCAACAACCAUUUGGCUGCGUCUCGGUUCAUUUUCAAUUUAUAAGCACAACCAUUUGGUUGCAUGCAGGUUUAUUUUCAAUUUAUAAACAACCAUUAGACUUGAAUCUCACAAUUCAUUGCUCUGGCUUAAUUAAUAUUAGUAAUGAUAACAAUAAUUAAAUAAAGAGUUUAUAAUAAAUAAUAGUCGAUUCAUAUAGAAAUAUCUUUUUGUUGGCAACGAGAAUGAGAUUCUAGUAAUCACUCAUUAUGUGCACAGAACAUCACUUUCAAAAUCAGAAGAACACUAAGAUCGCGCUAACAAACGGUUACACGUAGGAAUAUAUAUGACAAAAAAGAAAUGACGACGAACAGAUUAUAAUAAUCAUUAAAAGACCUGGCGACCCAAAGUUUAUGAUUCAGCUCAUAGUUGACACGACCUGGCGGCAACCUUAUACUGGUUACUCUUAAAGGUUAAAUGAUGUGUAAGGUUAACACGACUCUCAUAAUUUCAUUUCAAGCUACUUUAAAAGAGGUUUGAAAAAAAAUGUUUGCGUAGACUCAAUCUGAUCAACUUGGGGACUACACCGCAAUAGCAUUCUCUUAUGCAGGCCUAACAAGUGCGGUAAACAAGCUUGUGCUUCGUCAAAUUCAUACGACCAACCAAUUAAUCGGUUUAUGAACGCCGGUUUAAAUUUAUUUAAAAAAAUUUUAUAUUUAUAUAUUUUAUUUAUAAAACUCAAUUUCGAAUCGAAUAUAAACCCCAAAUCAAGUGGAGUCCAACUUAUACGUAUCCAUAUGAUAGUCAAGAACAGGAACCGUGGUAUCGCAAUGCAGAUGGUUCAGCGUUGCAAAGCAGAACGCAAGCUUGAACCAGUGAAACCUCCCCGUGGAAAAUUUUCGGGUAAACAUCUUGCCGUUUAAUCCGCUGUUCUUUGACUAAACUUUAAUGAAGUUGGCUGUUAGCCAAAUAACAUGAUGCGCCAGUCAGCUAAAAAAAUAGAUAGAAUACGCCUUCAACUGCCGGAGAAAACACCGACCGGGAGACAUUGCUUGCGGAAAACUUUCCAAAAUGCAAUUGAAAAGAAAUUUCUUCAACCAGGAAGCCGGAUAUUUCAAAUUUUGUUUAAGGAUAAGGAAGCUAGCCUGGCUUGCUAAAAUGUAUUGUUAUAAUUUUAUAAUUAUGUGACAAGUUUUCUACAUAUGAAGAAUGAAAUAUAGAGAAAUCAAUUCAACAAGAGAAAGGUGGAAAACUUUAUCAUGUGUCUACUGUAGUUUAUGAAUGAUGAAUCGAUUUAAACAUGUCCCUCUACAUGGCGACUAGCGAAGUGACAGAAAUGUGUGAAAGAUGUUGUCGUUAGUAUAAGUCUAGCAUAAAUUUUUUAAGUAAAUACUGAGUGAGUUACGUUAUCAACAACAACAAUAUAAAUAAAUACCAUCUUUAUGCCUGCUACAAGAAAACAAAGUUACACCAGUUUCUGCAUACCUUCGUAACACCCAGAAGUGCGCAUCGACCCAGAUUCAGUAGUAGAUUGACGGUGUUGUGCCCAAAGCGGAGAACACACUUAGAAGAUAAAAUGAGAU
Molecule: long non-coding RNA, 1566 nt
Organism: Glossina fuscipes
Lineage: Eukaryota; Metazoa; Arthropoda; Insecta; Diptera; Glossinidae
Exons: 6
Source: RefSeq, a predicted model, not a curated record